Molecule: ribosomal RNA, 551 nt
Filed under: Nocardiopsis sp. NTRJM03
Lineage: Bacteria; Bacillati; Actinomycetota; Actinomycetes; Streptosporangiales; Nocardiopsidaceae
Description: bacterial SSU rRNA
Rfam family: Bacterial small subunit ribosomal RNA
Source: RNAcentral
AGAGGGUGACCGGCCACACUGGGACUGAGACACGGCCCAGACUCCUACGGGAGGCAGCAGUGGGGAAUAUUGCACAAUGGGCGAAAGCCUGAUGCAGCGACGCCGCGUGAGGGAUGACGGCCUUCGGGUUGUAAACCUCUUUCACCAGGGACGAAGCGCAAGUGACGGUACCUGCAUAACAAGCACCGGCUAAUUACGUGCCAGCAGCCGCGGUAAUACGUAGGGUGCAAGCGUUGUCCGGAAUUACUGGGCGUAAAAAUUUCGUACGCGGUUUGUCGCGUCGUUUGUGAAAACCACCGCCUCAACUGCUGGCUUGCAAGCGAUACGGCCGCACUUGAGUACUGCAUGGGAGACUGGAAUUCCUGGUGUAGCGGUGAAAUGCGCAGAUAUCAAGAGGAACAACGGUGGCGAAAGCGGGUCUCUGGGCAGUAACUGACGCUGAGGAACGAAAGCGUGAGUAGCGAACAGGAUUAGAUACCCUGGUAUUCCACGCCGUGAACGGUGGGCGCUAGGUGUGGGUUCCUUCCACGGAAUCCGUGCCGUAGCUAACG